Molecule: ribosomal RNA, 253 nt
Filed under: uncultured bacterium
Lineage: Bacteria
Description: partial 16S ribosomal RNA
Rfam family: Bacterial small subunit ribosomal RNA
Source: RNAcentral
UACGAAGGGGGCUAGCGUUGCUCGGAAUCACUGGGCGUAAAGGGCGCGUAGGCGGUCUUUUAAGUCGGGGGUGAAAGCCUGUGGCUCAACCACAGAAUGGCCUUCGAUACUGGGACGCUUGAGUAUGGUAGAGGUUGGUGGAACUGCGAGUGUAGAGGUGAAAUUCGUAGAUAUUCGCAAGAACACCGGUGGCGAAGGCGGCUCACUGGCCCGGUUCUGACGCUGAGGCACGAAAGCGUGGGGAGCAAACAGG